AUGCCUCUUAAUUAUUGGCUAGUAUGAAUGGAUAAGCGAGAAUUGUACUGCCUCUUUAAAUUUAAUAAAAAUUACCCUUUUGGUGAGCAGGCUUCAAUUAAAAUAAAAAACAAGAAGACCCAGUAGAGCCUUAGAUAAACCUUAUUCCCAUGAAAUAAAAUUAAAUCCUAAGCUUAACGUAUUCUUCUUUUGGGGCGACUAGAGAACAACAAAACCUUCUCUAAAUCAUAAGGACCGUCGGCCUACCACAGGAUCCGCCAAGCCAUCAAAAAUAAAGGCUACCUCAGGGAUAACAGGCUAAUCUUCCUAAGGAGCCCGAAUUGACAGGAAGGAUUGGCACCUCGAUGUUGGCUUACGGGCACUUCAAGGUGCAGCCGCCUUGAUAAUAGGUUUGUUCACCCUUUACUACCCUACGU
RNAcentral lists this ribosomal RNA (416 nucleotides) under Aricidea cerrutii cerrutii. RNAcentral's name for it is "partial large subunit ribosomal RNA". It matches the Rfam family "Bacterial large subunit ribosomal RNA", at positions 1969 to 2601 of the family's 2925-position model. Lineage: Eukaryota; Metazoa; Annelida; Polychaeta; Paraonidae. The record is from RNAcentral.